Molecule: long non-coding RNA, 1307 nt
Filed under: Homo sapiens (human)
Lineage: Eukaryota; Metazoa; Chordata; Mammalia; Primates; Hominidae
Description: HSALNT0363750
Source: RNAcentral
AGAUCGACCGGAGAUGGCCGGACUGCGGGGAACGGAGCCGGGGAGUCGAGGAUUGAAGAACCCGGGGAACAGGGUAAAAACUCGGCCACUGGCGAAGAGCCAGUGGCACCGGGGGGCACAUCGGGAAGGGCUGCGGUGGCAACGAGCGCGGACGCGAGGCGGGCAGGGAGCCUCCGCGGACGGAAGGGCCGCACCGGGGGCGGUGCGGGGACGCUGCGGCCAGCUGCCAGGAGUAGGGGAGCCACGCACUCACCGCUUUGCUCCCCCAGGAACACCAGCUUGAAUUUCCUCAGCGGAUUCCCGAAGUCUCCGCCCGUGGACAUUGUGGAACUAGAGGAGCGGCCGCCGCCUCAGCCUAGAGACCUCCCGGACCGAUGCUGCUCCAGCCAGCUGACGAAAAAGGCGAGCGGAAGGGCGGGCACCGAGCUCUCUCGGCCCCUGCAAGGCCCGGUGGAGGAGCCCGGCUGGAGGGCAGCAGGACUCUCCACAGACUGGCAGCCGCCGCCGCCUCCCGGCAGAGUAGCCUAGCACCGAGCGAGGCCCGCGGCUGGGAAGGGAAGGAGGGCGGUGUCGGCAGGAGCCAGGGGUGUCCUCUGGCUUCCCAAAGCUAGGGCCGUUCCCUCCUUCCGCACUCGGCUCCCAGACCUGGGGAAGAGAAGCUGAGGGUGGCGGAGCCGGAACCGCAGACGUAUCUGGGACCUCUCACGCGCAGCGCCUGAGCUUCCACAGCUGCCGCCGCCGCCGCAGCCCAACCUGCUGAGUGCGCGAGCCUCUGGAGCGGCGCGGGGCGAGCCCGGGCGCGAGCCUGCGGCCCCGCCGGCCGCUGGCGUGCGUGCGUGCGUGCAUGCGUGCGCGCCACCGCCAUCGCCAUCGCCUUCCUGGUUUGGACAGCUCUACCGGCUCCUCCCGCACGGCGGCGACGGGGCAGGAAUGUUAUAACUGCCAGAAUCAUGGCCUCCCAAUUUUGCAGAUGAGGAAACUGAAGCUUAGAGGGAGUAAAUGACUUGCAAAAUCCAUAAAGCGGGCUGGGCGCGGUGGCCCACGGCUGUAAUCCCAGCACUUUGGGAGGCGGAGGCGAGUGGAUCACGAGGUCAAGAGAUCGAGACCAUCCUGGCCAACAUGGUGAAACCCUGUCUCUACUAAAAAUGCAAAAAUUAGCUGGGGGUGGUGGCGCGCGCCUGUAGUCCCAGCUACUCGGGAAGCUGAGGCAGGAGAAUCGCUUGAACCCGGGAGGCGGAGGUUGCAGUGAGCCGAGAUCACACCACUGCACUCCAGCCUGGCGACAGAGCGAGACUCCAUCUCAACAG